This 266-nucleotide ribosomal RNA is filed under the name uncultured prokaryote. Its description in RNAcentral is "partial 16S ribosomal RNA". It matches the Rfam family "Bacterial small subunit ribosomal RNA", at positions 524 to 788 of the family's 1533-position model. The record is from RNAcentral.
UACGGAGGAUCCGAGCGUUAUCCGGAUUUAUUGGGUUUAAAGGGUGCGUAGGUGGAUUGGUAAGUCAGUGGUGAAAGUUUGCAGCUUAACUGUAAAAUUGCCGUUGAAACUGCCGGUCUUUAGUGCAAAUGAGGUAGGCGGAAUGCGUCGUGUAGCGGUGAAAUGCUUAGAUAUGACGCAGAACUCCGAUUGCGAAGGCAGCUUACUGGGAUGCAACUGACGCUGAGGCACGAAAGCGUGGGUAUCAAACAGGAUUAGAUACCCCU